UUACACAUGCAGUCGAACGGUGAACACGGAGCUUGCUCUGUGGGAUCAGUGGCGAACGGGUGAGUAACACGUGAGCAACCUGCCCCUGACUCUGGGAUAAGCGCUGGAAACGGCGUCUAAUACUGGAUAUGUGACGUGACCGCAUGGUCUGCGUCUGGAAAGAAUUUCGGUUGGGGAUGGGCUCGCGGCCUAUCAGCUUGUUGGUGAGGUAAUGGCUCACCAAGGCGUCGACGGGUAGCCGGCCUGAGAGGGUGACCGGCCACACUGGGACUGAGACACGGCCAGACUCCUACGGGAGGCAGCAGUGGGGAAUAUUGCACAAUGGGCGCAAGCCUGAUGCAGCAACGCCGCGUGAGGGACGACGGCCUUCGGGUUGUAAACCUCUUAGCAGGAAGAAGCGAAAGUGACGGUACCUGCAGAAAAAGCGCCGGCUAACUACGUGCCACAGCCAGCGGUCAUACGUAGGCGCAAGCGUUCUCCGGAAUUAUUGGGCGU
This 495-nucleotide ribosomal RNA is filed under the name bacterium D16(2005). Its description in RNAcentral is "bacterial SSU rRNA". It matches the Rfam family "Bacterial small subunit ribosomal RNA", at positions 49 to 561 of the family's 1533-position model. The record is from RNAcentral.